Long non-coding RNA from Petromyzon marinus (sea lamprey), 226 nucleotides. RefSeq lists it as uncharacterized. The record is from RefSeq and is a predicted model, not a curated record. NCBI's taxonomy places the organism in Eukaryota, Metazoa, Chordata, Hyperoartia, Petromyzontiformes, Petromyzontidae.
AUUCACCACAACCGCACGCAGAGUGAAUCGCUAACAGUGGCACAAUGAAUGGGCAGUACUGCACUGACGAAGCUGGUGGACUAAGAGUUCGAUUCCAUGACAUGGCUACCAUCAGCGACCCAGAAACUGCUCAGCCUUGGGAAAUAACCGCCAUGCGCCAUGAACAUAUUACAACGGGGAUGUGUGGUGAGAAUUAAAAAAUAAAACUGAAUUUGAUAAGAAAAAA